This 497-nucleotide ribosomal RNA is filed under the name uncultured bacterium. RNAcentral's name for it is "partial 16S ribosomal RNA". It matches the Rfam family "Bacterial small subunit ribosomal RNA", at positions 28 to 507 of the family's 1533-position model. The record is from RNAcentral.
GACGAACGCUGGCGGCGUGCCUAAUACAUGCAAGUUGAGCGCUGAAGGUUGGUACUUGUACCAACUGGAUGAGCAGCGAACGGGUGAGUAACGCGUGGGGAAUCUGCCUUUGAGCGGGGGACCACAUUUGGAAACGAAUGCUAAUACCGCAUAAAAUCUUUAAACACAAUUUUUAAGUUUGAAAGAUGCAAUUGCAUCACUCAAAGAUGAUCCCGCGUUGUAUUAGCUAGUUGGUGAGGUAAAGGCUCACCAAGGCGAUGAUACAUAGCCGACCUGAGAGGGUGAUCGGCCACAUUGGGACUGAGACACGGCCCAAACUCCUACGGGAGGCAGCAGUAGGGAAUCUUCGGCAAUGGACGAAAGUCUGACCGAGCAACGCCGCGUGAGUGAAGAAGGUUUUCGGAUCGUAAAACUCUGUUGGUAGAGAAGAACGUUGGUGAGAGUGGAAAGCUCAUCAAGUGACGGUAACUACCCAGAAAGGGACGGCUAACUACGUG